RNAcentral lists this long non-coding RNA (288 nucleotides) under Lathyrus oleraceus (garden pea). RNAcentral describes it as "Pisum sativum (pea) long non-coding RNA (PSAT_LNC038262)". Lineage: Eukaryota; Viridiplantae; Streptophyta; Magnoliopsida; Fabales; Fabaceae. The record is from RNAcentral.
AACAACCUCCAAUUCCAACAAAGGACCGAUGCUAGCAUUCAGACCUUGAACACACAGAUGGGACAACUUGCUACUCAAAUAAAUAACAUGCAAGCUCAAGGUUCGAACCAACUUCCAGCCCAGACAGUUUUCAAUCCGAAUGGUCCUAAUGCUAAUGUGAGCGCAAUUUCUUUGAGAUCCGGAAAACUUACAGAACCAGCCCCUGAAAAAAAUAAAAAAAUCAUUGAGGUAACUUCUGAACUUUCUCCUUCUGAACCUCACUCAGCUGAACUUUCUUCUCCUUCUUCU